UAUAUUAUAAAUCCUGUUGCGUUUUUUGCUACUAAAAGACUAAAUUGUCCCUCUACAUUUUCCGUAUUCACAUCCAUAUGCCACUCUUUCCGCUUCAACUUUAUACACUCAAUCCAUUUCAUCCGUUGAUUUCAAAAGCAGAGCCGCGUGUCACCUCUUCCACUCCUCUCUUUCGUUUCUUGAUUUUAUUUCAAAUUUGAAUCUCGCUGUGUGUAUCUGUCUCUAUCUCUCCUUCUUACUCUCAUAUGUUUCUCUCUCAUAUUUUAACAUAUAGUCAUUGAUGAUUGAUUGUUCUUGCAGAAGCU
Molecule: long non-coding RNA, 305 nt
Filed under: Daucus carota (carrot)
Lineage: Eukaryota; Viridiplantae; Streptophyta; Magnoliopsida; Apiales; Apiaceae
Description: long non-coding RNA (DCAR_LNC000099)
Source: RNAcentral